This 27-nucleotide small RNA is filed under the name Bombyx mori (domestic silkworm). Its description in RNAcentral is "ovarian small RNA-10700". The record is from RNAcentral. Lineage: Eukaryota; Metazoa; Arthropoda; Insecta; Lepidoptera; Bombycidae.
AAGUGAUGCCGGACACGGGUCAGAGAC